CUAUUGCAACACUAUUUACUAUUUAUCAUCUGCCUUCAGAAUGUUGGUGACAGGCCUCGUUUUCAGGUAUCAGAGCCGUUCAGGCGACGUGGUGGUUAUUUUUCAGGAAGGGGUGGCCAUAAAUCAAUAUAUUGGAGCCACAAGAUUUGAAACCAAAGUGGGAGCUGUCUACAUUGGAAGUCGGAAAAUUGGAAAAACGUCAGCUAGACAUAUUCAACUGAACAGUUUUGUUGUAGCCCAUCUGCCUCAAGGCUCAGCAUGGUGCACAUUCUGAGAGGCUGUUCUGCUCACCAUGGUUGUACAGAGUGGUGAUUUGAGUCACUUUAGCCUUUCUGUCAGCUUGAACCAGUUUGGCCAUUCUCCUCUGACCUCUCUCAUCCCCAAGGCUGCAUACAUGGGGCUCAUUUACAUUCAUGGUUAUCCAGAUAAUGAAGCUUUCAAUCCAGGAGAUCCUGCGGUGAGAACAAUGAACCCAAUUACCUCCCGCCGCCUGCGAGAUGGGAUGGCACACUCCGAGACAGAUGGGAGAGACGGAGCUUGCCCGGCAAACCAAUCACAUUCAUCUCACGCUUGCCCCAGCUCCUGGCCAAACCCUCAGCCCCACCAUGUCACACAUCAUAGCCACUGCAUUCACAUAUACAAACCAGGAGAAGGUGUUGUCAUAUAACAAUGAGUUUCAACAGGGAAGUGGAGUCAAAAUGUGAAUUCCUUUUGAUUUAAUUUAUUGAAAUAGUAUGCAGGCUACUUAGAUAAAUAUUGACCACCUACUUUGUCAAUGAUGUUAGCUUUGGAAGUUUCUAUUCUAUUCAGUGCAUUCAUAGAUAUUUCAGAAUAUUCUGAGAAUUUAAAACAUCAAACUAAUCCUACCUACAAGAUUAAUCAUGACUUUAGUAUGAAAUGAAAGGGUCCUAUAUUCACUCCUUGUCCUGUUACUGUUUUGUUAUCUGAUUGUGCCCACCUGUUUCGUGUUUGUACUUGAUUAGUUUGUACCUAUUUAUGCCCUGCUGUUUCUUUUGUAUUGUGUAUUAUUUUUACUUUACAAAGCCUUGUUUUUCGAGUUCUGUGUUUUAGGGUGUACUCAUACUAGGUGAUCUGUACCGUGUCUCAGCACAUUUGACCCUAAAGUCCAGUUAAUUUGACUAGUAUGAUUGCUCUGUACCUUGCCCAGGUAUGAUGCACUGAACCGUGCCCAGACUCAUUUGAAGAGGUGGGGUCAGGCACGGUUCAAUUGGACAAAGGCAUGGUACGCAUCUAGAGUGAUUGCUAACCAUGGCCAAUCACUGAACUUGAAACAUGACGUCAAUGAUGUCCAGUUCUCACAUUUAUGUUAACAUUCAUUUAUUUAUCAGAUGCUUUUAUCCAAAGCAACUUACAAAUGAGGAAAUACAAGCAAAGCAAUAUAUUAAGCGGAGAGCAAUACAAGUACUGUAGUGCCACCAUGCAAGAUUUUUAUAUAGUUCUAGAGAAGCACAGUGCACAGAGUAGAGAUGUAAGAGCCAGAGUAAGUGCAGAAAGUUAUUUUUUUUUAACUAUAUAGCAAGAGGGGAAAGUUAGGGUUUAGUCAAAUUUUCCCGGAAGAGGUGAUUCAUUUUUUUGAAGAUAGUGACAGAUUCUGCUGUCCAGAUUGAGGUUGUUGAAAUGUGGUCUGUAAAGGUCAAGUUGUCUUCAAAAGUCACCCCAAGGUUUCUUGCUGUCCUGGUUGGCUUGAGUGUGGUUGAGAAAUCUUCAAAAAUCUUCUGAUACGUGCAGCCCAAUUAGGUGAAAAUCGCUGUACUACAAAAGUGCUAAAUCUAUUAGGCAAUCUACAUUUACAUCUACGGGGCAGGAAUGAUGAUGGACUGCUUGAAGCACAUAGGCAUUACUGAUUGUUCCAGGGAGAGGUUGAAUAUCUUUGUGAACAUCAGUGCUAGCUGGUCAGCACAGGCUCUGUGGACUCAACCUGUGAUGCUGUCUGGUCCUGCUGCCUUCCUAUUGUUCACUCUCCUAAAAGCCAUCCUCAAAUCAUGCUCAAAGAUGAUGAAAGUAUCUUCCAUUAUAGCAUUCUUCACCGCUCUGCACACGUUAUAGGAUGAAGCCUUGUAUUCGUCCAUGUUCCUGACAUUGAGUCUUGUGUUAUAGGCCGUGGUGCGAGAUCUCAGAGCAUCACGGAUGUUUUUAUCCACCCACGGUUUCUGGUUGGGAAAUGUUUUGACUGUUUUUUUCUGGACUGUAUCAACCGUUAGCUUCCUGAUAAAUCCCACAGCUGCUUCCAUAAACACGUUGAUGUCGUCAGAGCUGCACCAGAACAUGUCCCGGUCCCAACAUGUCCACCUCCCCUUAACUUCCCUGACACUGUUGUUCUGUCCACGCGGUGAAUCGAGAAGAACUCGGCCGGCUGGAUGGCGUGGACUGGAUCCGCUGGAUUCAGCCAUGUCUCGGUGAAGCAGAGGAGGUUGCAGUCCCGAAUGUCCCCCUGAAACUUGAUCCUGGCCCUGAGGUCAUUCAGAUUGUUCUCCAGUGACUGAACAUUAGCUAGCAGGAUCCUAUACAGGGGAGCGCAGUGUGUGUGAGACCAAGGCCUGUUCCUGAUUCCAGCUCAUUUCCCACGAGGCCACCGGUACGGGUUGCGUCCUUUGUUCCUUCUCAGGAUCUUACUCGGCCAGGAUGAAUCCGGUACUAAAAGCGAUGACUGGUGAGUGUUUUGUACACCAGUAGAAAUAAGAGUACUUCUGUCAUAGCUAAUAGUAGCCAUGGUAAAAAGGCCAUUUUGGUUUUUCAAAACGAAAAAACUGCAUCAUAAUGACGUAAGCAUGCCCAGGCCUGGAAUGUUAAGUACAAUGUGAGUGCAGGCCAGUGGAGGAGUGGGGAGGGGGGAUAAUUGUGCUUGGGCAACCAGGCCUAGUGUGAGUAUGCCCUUACUGUAAUUCCUGAUUUUGACCCUUUCCUCAUUUUUGAAUAUGGAUUCACCUGCAUAUGUUUGCCCCUCUCUAUGGACUGUGAUUAGUAUUGUUGGAUUUGCCUAAUAAUUAUCAAGCCAAAUACCUGCACUUGCAUCCUGUCUCUACUUUUUCCCACAGACUUUGCAGCUGUGUAGCAUUUUUGUGUAUGUAUAUACAAUAUAACAAGUUCUAUGGAUUCCUCCUACCUCCCAAGAGCAUGCCAAUAAUUGGAUUAUUGAUUUUAAAUCUCUACCUCGCUCCCAGUGUUCUUAGUAUAGGUUUUGGAUCCACCUCCAACAGUAGUGUUGUGCAUGCAUGAUUAGCUAUACAGAUAUAUACAUAUUAUAAUGGUAUAUAUAGAAAUGUAUCCAAUUUGUAACCAUGACUGUUAAGGAGCUGUCCCACCCUGACUGUUCGCUGUGAGAAGCAGACCUGUUGUUAGAAAGCGGCUCUCCUAUCCUGCUUGCUCCCUCACCACUUUAUUCCUCUGCUGAUGAAUGCUCACUGGAACAAGGAACAAAUAUAGAGGAGAGAAGCAAAAAAAAAAAGGGGCUCGAACAGCAGUUUACUGGCAGCGCUGUGAGGCAGGUGAGGCUCAGCAGAGAUGUGACCAGCCCGAGGAUUAAUGGUCUCUGGGGAAGCCGAGCUGACAAAAGAAAGGCUAGCAAUGAGACACGCCAAUGCUACGGGAUGUACUGCAUGAACUCAACCAGAUUUGAUGGAUGGCCCGCAGCUGUUUGUAGCUGUGUCACUCUGCUGAACAUUAUGCCUCUCUCCUUCGCUCCCUCUCUCAGUAAUGACAUGGGGGCCGGAAUCCCUGAGCCUCCUGUGGCCGCACAGCUGCACAUCACUUCUUUGUGGGCUUCUGUGGAUCUACCGAGCUCAACAUUUUCCAGCCCAAACGAACCUCUGAAUACGGCGCGUGGGUGCUAGCAUGUUGGCUAAACCCACUGAAAGCACACGCCGCCAAUUUAAUCCCUCACAACAACUGGCGCACUAUAAUAGGGCCACCAGGGACCAGGAGCAGCGAAGUCCUUCGGCUGACAGGGGGCGAUGCAUAGCGGGAAAAAGCAUGACCCGGAAGCUGCCCUCCCCUUCCACUGGCUUUAAUUUCAAGUUCAGUCAAACGCUUGCAUAUCCCUGUUUGAUACUUUCCAAACCAAUUUGUCUUAAGCGACUAAAUCCUUCUCUAGAGCUGUUGCUUUUCUCUUUCUCCCAUGAUUCACAUGCAUAGCCCCUGGUUUAGCUUGGCCUUUUUCAACUUUUUUCAUGAAGUAAAAGUCAGAUUGUAGAAAUAUCCAGGCAGACUUAGGCAAUUGCCUUUGUUAGUCUAACUAAUCAUGCAAGCCAUGUUUCACAGCUCUGAUAAGCAGAGUGCCUCCAGAAAGGUUUGGACCAAUGGCGCGCAUGCAUUCACUAAGCUAAUUUGCAGACUGGCAAGGCUUUCACACCAUUUGGAGAUGCACUUUAGAUUUCACCAGGGAUGUGAGACUCUGGUUUAUGGACUGCCAUAGCCUAAUAUAUUGCGUUUUGCACACUGGCUUGAAUUGGCCUGCAUUAGCAUUUGAAACGGUUUAAUCUCUACUCUUUUAAAUUGAGUUAUUUGUCUCAAGUUUGCUUCAAAGUGUGACCAUACACACAUUAUCCAUGUGAUGUGUGAUUUUUGUUUUGAAUGAAUGAAUUUUUUUUUUUUAAAAAACAAAAAAAAUACACUGGCAUCAGAGGGAAGCAAAAAUGUUUUUUUAAUUCAUUUGAGCUGUCAAACGUUUACCCACAACUGUACAUGCUCUCAUCACACGGUACAAAUCUUUUUUCUCUUAUAUAUUUAUAUCCCCAAACAAGUUAGCCAAAAUUAUUAUUGCACCUGUCCUAAAUGCCGCAGCUGAGACUGAGCUCCUCCAGAUGCUCCUAAAUGCUUUCCCUUGGUACAGUGCGCUCUCCAUGUUAACACAAGACCCAUAAGUGGCUCUGCGCCGGUGCCAACGUAAGGCUGGCGUGCACCCGUGCCAAAACGCUGGGUUGUCACAAUCCUGGCAAGCCUAAUCCAGCUGGUUCUCUCUGGAGCAUGCCAGUGCCUCCUGUUUCCAAACACGCCAGUGCUCAGUGCGAGGUGCUCGAGAACACAUGGCACUGCUACUGCCAGCCUUCAAACUGCACCUGCUGAUCCUUAGCCAAAUGUGCUGCUUCAGAAGAGCUCACAUUCAAGAGGAACACCAGUGUGUGGUUUUUGCUCAUGGGUGAUCACAGGUUUCAUAGCUUUCAUGCAUCACAUCCAUUUUGUCAACAGCCGGCAUAAAGAUUCUAGUCUAGCAUGAGUCCCAAUUAAAUCUGAACUUUAAUAUUAUUAUAAAUAUCAUGUGCUAAAAGUAUUCUUGUAAAUUUGGAUUUCUAGCUCCAAAUUGGACUAUAUAUCUCUUUAAGUCAUAACUACCAGAGCGUUGGUGAACAUUUCAAUACUUGCGAUUUGUUUCUCUUUGCUUCCUUUCAACAUAGAUGGUUCCAGUGAUCAAUAAUGCUUCAUUCAAUCAUACAUUCAUUCUUCAUGGCAGCGCUUUAUCAUGGUCAGGGACACAAGGCAGUACACCAUGGAUGGGAUGCCAGAGUACCAUGCACACACCUUCACAAGUAGGGGAAAUUUAGCAUAGACAAUCUAUCUACUGGCAUGUCUCUGGGAGGAGGAAGGAAACUGGAGUAUCAGGAGGAAAACCACAAGGCAACAACAACUCCAUAGGUAGUGAGCGUCAAUACUACCUGCUGCACCAACAUGCCAACCUGGGAUAGGAUAAUAAACAGAUCAGGCUGGAAAAGUUGUUAACAUAUUUAAAAUGAAUUGCUAAAUACCAUGGCAGCAUACAAUAAUGGUAAAUGUCCAUCUCAGAACAGAAUCUCUGAGCUCAUGUAUGCAGAAGAGGCCAGAUAGUGCUUUCCUCUGAGUGUGUUCAGUUGCUCUGUGAUCUAGCAUGAGCACUAGUUUGAAAAUACGCCAUGGUUUCACAUUGGAGGAGGCACAUGGUAGUUGUGUGAUAGGAAUGAGCUAGCUUGUGGGUGAGAAUUAGCAAAUGACCAAACUGGGAGAAAAUAGGGUUUUAAAGAAAGUCGCUUUGCUCAGGCUGCAAAUGGUGGAUUUGUGAAAGAUGUCAGGGAGAGAGAGUGAAGAUGGGGAAGUAUGCAGGAUCUUAUAGUGUGAGGCUGAUUUUUCCCUGCAGCUACAGUCGCCCUUUAGCCACGGCCGGUUGUGCACAGCAGUGUGGCAGGAGAUAAAUUCAGGAGCAAGUGCUGAUGGCAGAUCACACAUGGCUGAAGGAUGUUCCGGUGACUCGCCACCACAGAUGCAUUUGCAGCAGAGCUAAUAUAUUGUGAUAUGUGAUUAUUUCCUUUUCACGUCUCAUUCGUGUCACCUGCAUUUGGCUGAGCAAAGUGAAACCAUGAGGCUUUAUCAUUUCUAAACCAACAGGAAAAUAAACAGGAUUUCUGAUUCAGGAGGACCUGUCGAGGGGCAAGUGUUUAAGGACAUUCAUUAUUCAACAAAUAAAUGGGCUUCAUGCAGAAGAGCAGGUUGUUUUAUCAGUAUAUUUAGAGGAAAGAUGUGCUUGUAAUUCCUUGGCCAUGAGACAUGCCUCGAAGAAGUCAUGCACCUGCCUGGUGUGUCAAGUAGUUAUCAGCAGGGAGGGAAGGGAUAAUGAUCAUCAGCAAGCGCCUUGUUUACUCUUCUUUAAAUGAAUUUGAGGAUCUUGUUUUGCCAGAUUAAUAAUGCAGAUUGUACACGAUGGUGGCUAAGAAUAGCUGUGGAAAAGACAGCGGGGGAGAAUACAGCAGCAGCAGGGACUGACAUGACAUUUACAGGCAUGCUGGGCCGUUAUGACUCUGCUGGGAUUAUAUAUCAAGUACAGUCCCAUCAACAAUGCCUUUCAAAAAAUGACAUUACAAUUCUUGCUAAAGAAACAAGCUGAUUUUUUAGAUUGCUUCCAAUCUGUUUUUGAGCUCCACGAUAUAGUUUAGAUUAAAUUAAAUCAGUUUUGGUCCUGUUCAUUCCCACCUUCACUGUAGCUUCAAGGUCUUGCACAUUCGAAGCGAAUCCCAGUUUUCAGGAUAUUAGCAGUAGCAGUCAUGUCGCUCUCCCUCAAGCAUAUUUCACUGCUCCCUUAUUCCCUCACAAUAUUAGUGGAAGGCAGAUGUCCAUAGCCAGGUCCAAGUUUUUUGUCCAUAAAACAGCUUUAAAGAGAUUCUAGCCAUUUUUUCUAAAUCUCAGGCGACAUAAAUAGAACAUGGGACUAUUGAACAGUGUGUGUGUGUGUGUGUGUGAGAGAGAGAGAGAGAGAGAGACUAACACCACCUCUGAAAACUUCACGCAUGGGGGGAAAAAUCAAUACUUUUCAAAUCUUUUUGAUUCAUUAUAUGAUGUUGUUAUGUCAUCUAUCUGGACACUGCGAGGCCCACAAAUGUACUCAACCUGGAAGCCCUGAAGAAAUAGACUAUACUGGAUAUAUAGAGCAGAUUUAACAAAGAGAGCUGAUACAAUUCUUGUAUAGAGAUGGAUGAAAGUCAGCAUAUAAUGAAUAAUGAAAGUCAGCAUUUAAAAGGUCUAUGUUCACUGGCACUGAAAUUUCACCUUGCGUCACGCAAAUAUUGCCACACAAACUACAUAGCUAACUACAGAAUAUCUGCAAAACCAUCAAAUGCAACCCGGCUAAUAAUAAAAAUUAAUUUUAAUGAAAAUCAUUUUUCUAGCACCUUUCUCAAACCUUUGGUCGGUUUAUGCAUCACAUUGAGCCUUCAAGGCUAGGAUGAAUCUGCCCCUCACGCUUAAGUCUAGAUGCUUUAGUAUAACCAGCAACCAGUGGACAAAUUGGAGAGAUGACCAAAAACAUUCAAACAAUGAAAUAGAAGAUAGAUGCAUAAACAAACAUAAAACAACAACUCCGGUGAGACUCUGCAGCAAAAUAGAUGUGUAGAGCAUACUCUCAACAAGAAAUGGAAUGGAAAAUGUAUAGUAUUAAAGAAAAUUAUAUUUAUAAAUUUAUAAAGGGAAAUUAUUGUGCAAUCAGUUGCUGCUACCUUGACUAGUAUGAGAAUGAGCGAUCUCUGCCAUACUGUAUAUUUACAGGCAAAACACUUGGUUCCCUGCUAUUUGGAUACAUCACUUGUAUCACUUGUGCAUGCCGAGUAUCACCAGCUGGUUCAAGAGCUGGACCCAAAAACAUGAAGAAUAUUUCAUCAAGGUGGGGGAACUGAAGCAUCGUCCCUCAGUCCCACUGCUUCACUGCAAAAUACGACAUCCUUGCAAGUGAACAUUUCUUGAAUAUAAUACAAAUUUAUCUCAUAUUUCCUAUUACAAGACUAAAACAAACCAAAUAUAAGAUGACUAAAAUCUAGUUCUAGACAUUUUUACUAAUUUCAAGCUUGAUAGAGUCUUGUUCUAUUGGCAGUUAGAAGGUAUCAGGUAUUUAUUUCAAGAAAACAGCAAAAUAAUCUGCCAAUAGAACAAGAUGGUGUAAAGCUUGAAAAAAGUCUAGGCUUAAUAAUGUUAUAUUUGGUACAUUGGAAUCUUGUAAUAGGAAAUCUGCCAUAAAUCUGACAAGAUUCAAGAUAUUUUCCCUUAAUAAGAUGCCAGUUUUUGCAGUGUUGUCAUCAUAUCACCUCCCAUCACAUCACCUCUCACCACCAGUGGUCACUUCACUUCCUGUUACUGUAUAUCAUCAAUUCUUAUUGAAAAUGAAUGGCUUCCAUUUUCUUGUGUUGUGUCCCAGCUGUGAGACUAAAUGCUGUGCUGUUUUUAAUCACCAAACCUUGCCUUGUCUUUAUAAUACAAGCAAAAUUUGGUGCAAGCAAGAGUAAUUUGUAAGAACAACUGCAACCGGUUCCUGGUUUGAUUCUUAACUUGGGAUUCUGUCUGUUGGGAUUUUCUUUCCGAGUUCUCUCUGAUACAUUUACAUGGACAGCAGUAAUCUAAUUAUUGACCUUAUUCUGAAUAAGACAGUAUUCUGAUUAAGAUGUUUACAUGAGUUGCAUUUAGAAUACUCCUUUCAUGUUCUUGUUUUACAUGUUAUAGAACGUAGUUCGAUUAAUGGCACACGUCAUUACGUCACCGCGCCACGCCGUCCGGCGUUCCCUCCAGAAUUUCACGUAUCAACAUACAGUUCGUCUUCGUUAUGGUACCGUAUACAGUUUCGGGUGUUUUUAUUUUUAAUUUUACGAAGGCUUCAAGUGCGGUUAAUUAUUUGUCAUGCUGUACGUGCAAAUAGACGACUGCUUGAAACUGUUGGCUGCAUCCGAAACCACAUACUUACCGACUAUAUAGUAGCUAAGAUACAUGUAUUUCGCCUACUAUAGGUAAGUAUGUAAGUAUGCGGUUUUGGACGUGCUCUCUUGUUUGCUGUCAAACGGUUGAGCACUGCCGUGUGUGUACGUGUCCUGUCGCAAAAUGCGGUGAAAACUCCCACACGACGUUAAUAGUGUGAUUAAGGUGUGUACAUGUCUGUAAUGCACGUCGAUAAUGCAACUAAAACAGGAGUACUCCACAUGUCUUAAUUCCAUUUGUGUUUACUUCGAGUAUGACUUUAAUCGGAUUAAGGUCAUAAAAAAUUGCUGUUUACAUGCUAGUUUUAUAUUCAGAGUAUCGUCUUAAUCGGGUUAAUAUCAGAUUAUUGUUGUCCAUGUAAACGUACUGAAUGUGUCUGUGUGAGUUUCCUCCGGGUUCUCCAGUGUCCUCCCACCUCCCAAAAAUCAAGCGAGUAGGUGGCUUGGUUACAGUAAUUUGCACCUAGGUGUGAAUGAGUGUGUGAAUGUGUAUGUGCAUGAAACCCUGUCAUGUAUUCUUGGUCAGGAAUUCUAGUUAAAGCUGGAUAGUGCAUUUAAAAAAAAUAUGGAUCACACAUUGUUGUGUAGCUGAAAAAAACAAACAAAAAAAUUGAGUCAUUGAGUCAAUACGUAGACGAAUGCAUAAUAAAGUAAUGGCCACAUAUGAAUUAGGACUAAAUGCGUCACUUAGUAUUUUCUAAUAAACAAAGAAAAGCAAUGCAUGUAAACUAAAAUCUUAAUACUCCUCACAGUUCCACUACAGUUAUUUGCUUGUUUUAAGGUUUUUAAUCCAUGCAGAAGACUGGUACAUCAGCAACCUAGUUACCGCUGAGAGGAAGUGGGAACAAGCACCGCUCUGUGUAUUUGCAUCAAUCUGCAUCAAUGUAGAGCUUUUUGAGAAAAUGAAGAUGCAGAAGAACAAUCACUCAGUGCUUGAUUAGAUUGUGUUUUUGCUGUACAUUUAUAAAAGAGAGGAUUUGUGUAAUUGCAUGCCUCACAAAUAUAUCCUUGAGAAAAUUGGCAUCUGAGGAGUUCUGACUCUUUGAGCGAGAAAAGUCACUCGCUCAGUAGUCCGCUUGUGCAGUAUGCACACAGUAUAUAUAAAAUAAGAAUACAUGCAUGUUUUUCCACUACUUCCUUCUCAUUUUCCCUCUUUUUUUAAACAACAUAAUAUUAAAAAACCCUUUAACAAGCUAUUUUACCGUCUGUGACUGAAUGUUGAUUGCUUUUUACAGUCAGUGUAUAGAGAAAAGAAUUAAUUAGCAAUUUUCAGUUCUUACAUUAAUGUACUAAGCAGUGUACUAGUACACACCACACUACCAUUGCAUAUAAAACACAACCACACCUCAGGACCCCCUUUUAAAAAAAUAAUAAUAAUCACGGCCUUGUAUCGUAAUUGCAUGUGUGUAAUAAUUCCUCUUGCUCAUCACGUCGGUCCUCCUCACACUCUCUGUUGGCUUUUCAUGAUAGUGCAUCUCUGUCAUUAGUCGGGAGUUCACUUGGAGGAAGCUAACCUGGAGAGAAAAGCCACUCUUCUCUGAUCUCGCCAAUGAGCUUGUCCUGCAUCAAAGUAUGCUUUGAAGUCCAGGUACUUGUAAAAGAUUGGUUCAGGUUUCAGGUCAGGGUUCCAGUAGCCGAAGGUGGGGCAUGAGGGGAUUUGAAGCCUUCGGCUGCAUUUGUGUUCAUAGCCUUCCCUUCAUGUUUAUUAGGAGGAAAGCAAUCUGUGAAUCUGCAGCAGGUCAGCUUUCUGCCUUACAUUCUUUUCCAUACCCUUCAUGUACUCUUGUACCCUUGGCAAAGAUCAUCCUUCAGAAGUGAAGCUAUAAUUUAGCACAUAUAGUAAGUAGAGUAGUAAGGAAUAACACACAAUGGACUGUGCUGCUAUGAAAGUAAUAUACACUGUGGUGGUGUGAUAUCCUGAAGUGUAUUAGUUUCGUAUAACAGCGUCGACCAAAGUCUGUUAUUUCACUUAUUCCACAGAGUGCCAACGACUACAAUGUUUGUUUAAUUUAUUAAUGAACGACAUGUGCUUUUUUAAACAAACUAAUGCCAAUAGCAAGCUGUCACAAUGCAAAACUGCCUUCAUAAAUAAGUGAAUGUAACAGUGGAUAACUUACAGUGAUGGGUUUAAGUCUUAUUCUCUGUGUCAAAGUUCAGAUCUGUUAGAAAUGUACAUCAACUUCUUAAAGAUGUCACUUAUGACUUUUCAAAUAUACAUUAUAUGGCCAAAAGUACGUGGACACCUGACCAUCACACCCAUAUGUGGGUCUUCCCCAAACGAUUGCCACAAACAAAGUUCCCAUCACUUGAACUAAGAGGCCCAAAUCUGUUCCAGCAUGACAAUGGCCCUGCGCACAAAGCAAGAUCCACAAAGACUUAGUUUGCCAAAUUUGAAGUGGAAGAACUUGAGUGGCCUGAACACAUUUGUGAUGAAUUCGACCACUGACCACAUGCCAGGUCCUUCCCAGAAGAAUGUUAUUAUAACAGAAAAAGUGUGUCUGUGAUGGUCAGGUGUCCACAUAUUUUUGGCUAUAUAGUGUAUGAGCAGAUCUACAGGUAUGAGUAACAUUCUCAAAUGCUGGAUGUUCCUUCAUGUGCCAUAGCAAAAGGUUACGCUGUCACUUUUUCCAGCUGUCCAUACGAGCUUGCCCAUUACUUCCACGCUCGUUUAGCCAGCAGGGGAAUCACUGAGCAGCCUCGCCCACUGCCAUCAGCACAAGUAAGCACUGUUUAGAGCCGCUUUGCUGUGUCUCGUAGAGCAGCAUGACUUUAGCAUAAUGAUGGCCCCCAAGCAGGCCUGCAUUCUUGCUCCAAGGUCUAACGGCUGUCUGCCGCUGGGCUAUUUUUGGAUGUGUGGCAGGCAUCAUAAAUAAUGGAGCUGUAAACGAUCCGUGGCAGGUCUUUGCAGACAGAUGGACGAAGUUGAGGAAUGAGGUGAGCAAAAGAGGAAGAAAGUGGAUAGGAUUUAAAGGGGAAAGACUUUUUUGUAUGGCAUGAAGACAAAAAGGGCCAACUUUCAAAUUCCAGGAUGUUCAUAACACAGGUUUAUAAUACUGACUUCACAAAGAGUUCAUAGCCUUGAGUAAAGCCAUGAAGACACAGAUAAAGCAGGAGGAAGGGGUCCAAUUUUCUUUUGUAUCUUAGGCCAUAUUUAUAAUUUAUUCACUUUUCUCUACUCCAUUCAAAAACCCAUUCGUCUCAUCACACUACCAAGUGUCUCAGGCAAAAAAUUUAAAAAACAACAACAAACAGUUAUUUUAGGCUUAUCAAGUGCAUGCUUUAUCACAGUCAUUUAAUUUCAUAUAUUAUUAUUAUUAUUAUUAUUAUUAUUAUUAUUAUUAAUAAUAACAACUUAAUUGGAAGCAGGUGAAAUGAUGUUAAAUUUCUGUCCUAUAUCAUGAUUUAUGUAUGUGCAAUGUAUAUUUUUAUAUAUUUAUUUAUUUCUAAAUACAUUAAUACAUUAAAUAUUUAUUAAAGUGUUUAUAUGCAAAUGAUAAUCUUUACAAAAAAUAAAGUAUGUAUUGUUUUAUUUAAUCAUUUAUUUAAUUCAAUUUAUACAUUUAAUUAAUAAAUUGAAUUCUAUCUAUCUAGCUAGUUUAUUUUCCUGGAAGUAUCUUAGCAAACUUAUAUAUCAUGAGUCAUAUCCUGUGUCAUGGAAGUGUCUUCUCCAAAGCUGCGUUCCUAUCACACACAUAUGAAGACACCAAUAAAGCAGGAUAUAAAUGGGUAACACUUCUCAUGCCAUAUUCAUAAUUCAUUCACUUUUCUCCGGUCUAUCCUAAAAUCCAUUAGUUUCAUCACACUUUACAGAGUGUCUUAGGCAAAAAAGAAAAAACGCAGCCAUUUUAGAUUCUUUUAAACACCUCACACUUUUUAUUCACCUGAUGUUUUAGAUCUUUGAACCAUGGGGAAUUGGAGUGUGCUGAAUUAUAGGCUUAAAAAAAAAGACACACAAAAGAAAGUGCAAGAAAAAAGAAGCUUCUUUGUAGAUAUUUAGCUCUCUCUCUCUCUCUCUCUCUCUCUCUCUCUCUCUCUCUCUCUCUCUCUGCCUCUUUCUUUGUCUCUCUUUUCUAUUAUACUGUACCUAAUCACCAUGUGCAUAUUUAUAUUAGAGGCUGCAGUACAGUUUGUAUAAAAAGAUAUGUAUGUAUGUACCUAUGAUUUGCCCCAGAUAGAUGUAAUUACUCUCUAACCUCAGGGUCAGUGUUUCAUCUCAAGCACAAAUCUCCGAACCAACAAAAAACUGUGUCCAGUUAAUUACACACUGCACUGGAUGGCCGGCCUUUUGAGACCAGUACUUCUCUUUACAAGGUAAUCAAGGUGAAUCGAAUCUCAUUUGGGUGCCGUUACUUUUAGACGUUGGAGAAGGACAACCUCAUCCGAGGCACUCGAUACUAGAACCAACUGGAAGCGUAGUGUAAAUCCAAGCCCCGAGCUUCCUACUCGCAAUCAGAAUGCUGAUUUUGUUUGGUGGCCUUGGAUUUUACAUGUAAUAUUCAUCCGUUUGAUUUAGCACACUUGUGAUUAAAGAUCCUUGAGAUAUUUGAAAGUGAGCGCAGUGUGUGGGAAGGCUGCAAUAAGCCACUCAGAUGGUGCUGGAGCUGUGCAGAAUGUUUCGGAGGCUGCUGUUUCGCUUGCUGCGUCUCAGUGCGGCUCUGCGGCUCAGCAGCUCUAAUCUCCUCCCAUCUGCUGAUGGAGCUGUUCGCCCUGCACGGAGCCCAGACCCUGCUCCACCCCAUCUGGGCUGCUCCCACCCACUGUCUGUAUGUCUGUCUGUGUGUAUGUGUGUGUCUGUUAAAAAAAUAAAUAAAACGAGGUAAUACUUAAUCAUGCUUAGUUCAUGCUUAGCAGGUUACUCAUUUGAAAUAAGAAGGUGACGUGAAACAGGUGAUGUAAUCGUCUAAUCAUAGGACAUAAGGAAACUCCAAAAAAGGCCUAGUCCUUCACGAGCAAGGAUGGGUCGAGGCUCAACAAUCUGCCAACAGAUGCAUCAGCGAAUAAUCCAACACUUUGAGAACAACAUUCCCAAAAGACAAAUCAGUAGGAUUUUGGGCAUUUCACCUUCUACAGUGUACAAUAUAAUUAAAAGAUUCAAGGAAUCCGGGAAAAUCUCAGUGUGUAAAGGGCAAGGCUGAAAAGCACUUCUGAACGCGCAUGAUCUCCGAUCCCUCAGACGUCACUGUCUUAAAAACCGUCAUGAGUCUGUAAUGGAUAUCCUGACAUGGGCUCGGGAAGCUGUCCUGACAUGGGCCAUCCAAGCUGUUAUCAAUGUCAGGUCCAAAAGCCAGCGUCUGUCAUGGUAUGGGGGUGUGUCAGUGCCCAUUCUUAGCAAACGUAUAUAUUGUGAUAGAUAUCUUAUGUUAUGAAAAUGUCUUUUUUCUAUUCUUUCUAUAUUAUUUUCGAUAACAGCAGCUCUGACAGUAAUGCCGGCUGUAAUUCAAAUCACAGGUUUAUAUUAAUGCACUCUAAUACUUUAUUUUUUGUAUACUAACAGCUCAUCCACAGGGACUUGUGUAGCGUACACCCUACGUAAUCUCAGUCUAACAAUAAAUGGAUUUUAAAAAUGAAUUUUUAUUUAACAAAGAAAAACAUAUUAUCACUGAUGAUGAUGAUGCUUUCUUUAAGAAGACAUAUAUUUAACAUUUAUGCAAGGAGUCUCCGCUAUCAGUGCUUUGUAACGGUCAGUAAGUUUCCCACCACAGGAAAGUCUUCUGGUCUUUGUACUUUCCAGUUUCUCAGUAAUGCUGACGAGCUGCUUUUUUUUGUCUUAUUAAUUUGAAGAGAGAGAAUAAAAUAUAGACUGGUGAGGGAAAAACUAUUUAUAGCUGCUAUAACAUAAGUGACAUAAAUAACAGGAACUAACUUGUCUUGCCAUUCCGCAACAUUAAACAUAAGUAUAAAUGGUUUAAAAAUAUAAUUCAUUAAUUCAUUCAAAUAUUCAAUCAUUGGCUAAUUGCUGUGGUGAAAGAACAGUAAAACACUUUGGAACAUUCUGGUAUAUAUAUAAAAAAAAAAACACUUUGUGGUGGUAACAGUAGCUCAGAUUUUGUGAGUCACAUUAUACCUCCAGAUCAUUUAUUAGUUUCCUGUAACAGUUAUUUUAUUCCUUUCUUCACUGAUAGUAAUAGUAUAAAUAAUAGUAGUAAUAGUGAAACUGACAGACAUGCCAUAGUGUAAGCAUGCUUUACUAUUAUUAUUGUGAUCAAAUCAUUAUUAUUAUAAUUCAUUAUAAUUAGUAUUAUCAGUGGUAUAAACAUUAUUAUUAAUUAAUCCCUUAAUUUUCAUAAUCUAGUUCUGAAAAUGUAGCCUAUGUACUAUGAGAAUUUGUAUAUGUGAACCAUGUCUAUUAUUUUGUUAUAAUCUAUUAUACAUAUACCUGUUGUGUGUGCUUUGUGUUGAAUAUGAGCUCGUGCACACUUAUACAGAAUCGGAAAGUGUGUGUGUGUGUGUGUGUGUGUGUGUGUGUGUGUGUGUGUGUGUGUGUGUGUGUGU
Ictalurus punctatus (channel catfish) is the source of this 15707-nucleotide long non-coding RNA. RefSeq lists it as uncharacterized. The record is from RefSeq and is a predicted model, not a curated record. The transcript is spliced from 6 exons. NCBI's taxonomy places the organism in Eukaryota, Metazoa, Chordata, Actinopteri, Siluriformes, Ictaluridae.